UCAGCUUUAGGAAUUUGGAAGCAUUAAUCUCUUCUAUUCACAUCAGCUUACCUGAAUGGCCUUCAAAAGAAGUACUUAUAUAAAGCAUGCAGGUACAGAAGGAUAAAACAUAUGACUGAGGACUAGAGGCAGGAGAUUUGACUGGAACAGAAGUCAAAGGGCUCACAUCUUGAACAAAAGGAACGAAACAGAAAGAGUGAACUAGAAAUGGAUUCUGGCUAUUGGUAGAAUUUGACAAAUGGAAGUCCCACUGUCUUAAUGGUACAUAAACAUCUGAGCCCACCAAGCUUCAACAGAGAGCCCUAAAAGCACAGUCAUCAUGGUAGUCCAUGGGAAGAUCUACCUCACUGCUACUCUCUGCCAUAUCCACUUCCUUUCUGUCUCCCUUCAUUAAAAAAGCGGGCCACCAAACUCGACAAAACAAAAUAAAAUCAGCAAGAC
RNAcentral lists this long non-coding RNA (441 nucleotides) under Rattus norvegicus (Norway rat). RNAcentral's name for it is "long non-coding RNA NONRATT011183". The record is from RNAcentral. Lineage: Eukaryota; Metazoa; Chordata; Mammalia; Rodentia; Muridae.